AGGUCUUUAUGAAGCUUUGGAACUGAGGGACGGUGGAUCUGACUACUUGGGAAAGGGUGUUUCCAAGGUCUGGCAGCACCGCCGUGUCGACGACGAAGGUGGUGACCGCGGCAGCGAGCGGCGCGAGUUGGUGGCUGCGGGACUCGACGGCACGGCUCAUAUAUGCGCGAGCUGGGCAUUACUUUGAGUUCAUAUAUGUGCUUGUCACUCCAUAGGCCUUGGACAAGAUCAGUACGGUGCCGAUGGAGGCCCUCGCCGCCGGCGCCGAUGUGUCCAUGAUUGGGCAGUUUGGUGUUGGCUUCUACUCCGCCUACCUUGUUGCCGAGAGGGUCGUCGUCACCAUGAAGCACAACAACGACGGGCAGUACGUGUGGGAGUCCCAGGCCGGUAGCUCCUUCACCGUCACUCUUGAUACAUUUGGGGAGCAGCUCGGCAGGGGUACCAAGAUGGUCCUCUACCUUAAGGACGACUAGG
Molecule: non-coding RNA, 474 nt
Organism: Triticum urartu
Lineage: Eukaryota; Viridiplantae; Streptophyta; Magnoliopsida; Poales; Poaceae
Source: RefSeq, a predicted model, not a curated record